Molecule: unclassified non-coding RNA, 2274 nt
Filed under: Hevea brasiliensis (rubber tree)
Lineage: Eukaryota; Viridiplantae; Streptophyta; Magnoliopsida; Malpighiales; Euphorbiaceae
Source: RNAcentral
GCUUAGUCUCUAUUUUUACCGUUCAGUGCUUUUCCUUAUCCCCCAUCUGGAUGAAGAAGACCCUCCUCCUCUUCCUCGAAAGUAGGUUUGCUCUCCUUGCUUUUGAGCGGGGUUGUAUACAUAAAUAAGAUUGGCAUUCCUUUUAUAGUGUAUUGCUGCAAAUUGGAGAGCGUAUGGUUAGAUCCACCGUUAAUGUUGGGUUUGAUUUAUCCAAGGCAUUGCAUGCAAGCCAGAAGCUUUAAAAGCAAACAAUCUACUGAAAUCGUCUUGUUGUAAGUGCCUCUUGUUGCUUGUGGUUCCUUGGUAGUGGGCAUUACGGUCUGGGUGGGUUUCCUUAUUUGGCCCGCGAAAUCUCUAAAAGCAUUACCCACCAUGAGGUGGCCGACUCUUGAAGGUUGAAAGGGAACAGAAGAGCUCUAUGUCAUUCCUUUCUGGUUGGCCUUCCUUGAACUUCCAUGACUCUGCGAUUUCGUUUGAUUGAUAGAGCUCACAACCUUAUUCACCAAUCAUCACUUGUGUUGAUCAUUUUGAGGUUUCCUUGAAAUGACUCUUGCCUUGCAUGAACCUCUAUGCUCCUCGGCGUCUUCAGUUUUCACCAAUGAAUGUCCACAAUGGGCGAUGGCGACAACGGUCCAAAAGUUGUGGUUUGCAUUUCUCGCCUAGCUAGGAAUUGGGGAGUGGAAAAAGAGAAAAUAUUCCGAAAAAUACGACGCCGUUUCUUCAUACCCCAAUUUUUGAAAGUGUCGUUUCGCAGCUACGGUGUCCGAGAAAAUAUAGAGAGGCAGCAGCCGGAGGGCAAAAGCUUUAAAGUUUUGCACAGGCAGAAAUAGAGAGAGAAAGGAGAAGGAAUCAGAGUGGCAAAAUGUCGACGUUUUUGCAAUCAUUUCUAGAUCCAAGGAAGAACUGGUUCGCGAAGCAGCACAUGAAAGCUCUCUCCAAACGUCUCCGCAAAUAUGGGCUCCGAUACGACGAUCUUUACGAUCCGUACUACGAUCUGGACGUGAAGGAGGCGCUUUAUCGGCUCCCCAGAGAGAUUGUGGACGCUCGUACCCAGCGUCUCAAGCGCGCAAUGGACCUUUCCAUGAAACACGAGUACCUUCCCGAGGACCUCCAGGUUUCAUUAUUUUGCUACUAAAUCUCUAUUCUGGUUGUGGGAUUUUAGGUAUUUUGAUUGAUUCUAUCAAUGUGUGCUUAUUUACGUAUCUCAUAUCUCAGUUCCUGUAUUGGUGGUCACUGGUCAAGGUUAUAUUUGGGAAAAAAUUAAGAUGAAAAUGCUUACUCUUUGGCAUCAAAAUCUAUAUAAUUAAUAGCAGGUUUUGAGAAUAAUCGACCAAGACUUAGGGUGCGUUUGGUUUGAGGUUGAAGGGGGUUAACCUUUAAGAGGUUAAUUAUUAAAUUUCUUUAACCUUGUUUGGUUGGCCUGAUUCUUUAAGGGGUCCCAUUCUGUAACUUCAAUCCAUAUGCAUCCUUAGGAUUACAAACUUGAGAUUACUUUAUGCUUGUUUAAUGGAGCAACUUGCCUUGGCUUGAGCUUAUUAAUUUAACAACACUUGUCUUUGGUUAAGGCUUCAUCAGGGUAUUUUGUGUGUGCACUCGUUUUCAAAUGUGUUAAAAUACAUGGAGAUCUUACAAGCAUCUAUUUACUUUCUUUGCACUUUUGAAGGCAAUGCAAACCCCUUUCAGGACCUACCUUCAAGAUAUGAUGGCUCUUGUAAGUUGUUUUGAAGAAUUUAUGUACUUUGUCUACUAAGUUAUUUGCCUUUUUAUUCAAUUGGUUUCUGGUUAACACCUUUAAUAUAUGAUUCUUCCCUGUAUGACUUCUAAUCGAUUAUAACUGCUUUGAAUUUUCAAUUGCAAUGCCUAUAAAUAGUAGGUAAAUGAUGCUGUUAUGUAUUUUGUGGUUGGUGCACAGUGAUACAAUGAGUGAAAUUAGAACAUGUAAUGUUUGAUACAGACAGUAAUGGAGCAUUAUGGAAUCAGGAUAUUGACCAAAAUAUUCAUAAAUCAAAAACAUUGUAUUAAAAUGUGAGACUUUAUAUAUUUUUUCCCAAUAUAUUGUGGUCAUCUGGUCAUAGCCAAGAUCUACACAUUGAGUGUCAAUCAGUUGCUUUUGCGUUCUGCUCGCAGUCACAGACGGAAUAGAAUAAUAAACAUCAAGCUUCAAAAUGGCCACCUGCUCAUGAAGGUCAACAAUGUUGGUGUCGUCGACCUGCUGCUGCUCACUUGCUCCACCAGAACAACUCCCCCACUCCAAAAAAAAAAAUAAAUAAAUAA